Molecule: ribosomal RNA, 388 nt
Filed under: uncultured bacterium
Lineage: Bacteria
Description: bacterial SSU rRNA
Rfam family: Bacterial small subunit ribosomal RNA
Source: RNAcentral
GACGAACGCUGGCGGCGUGCUUAACACAUGCAAGUCGAGCGGUAAGGCCCUUUCGGGGGUACACGAGCGGCGAACAGGUGAGUAACACGUGGGUGACCUGCCCUCAGCUCUGGGAUAAGCCUGGGAAACCGGGUCUAAUACUGGAUAUGACUCCAUGACGCAUGUUGUGGGGUGGAAAGCCUUGUGCGGCUGAGGAUGGGCCCGCGGCCUAUCAGCUUGUUGGUGGGGUGAUGGCCUACCAAGGCGACGACGGGUAGCCGGCCUGAGAGGGCGACCGGCCACACUGGGACUGAGACACGGCCCAGACUCCUACGGGAGGCAGCAGUGGGGAAUCUUGCGCAAUGGGCGAAAGCCUGACGCAGCGACGCCGCGUGAGGGAUGACGGCCU